This 640-nucleotide ribosomal RNA is filed under the name Naganishia friedmannii. Its description in RNAcentral is "LSU rRNA". It matches the Rfam family "Eukaryotic large subunit ribosomal RNA", at positions 66 to 696 of the family's 3401-position model. Lineage: Eukaryota; Fungi; Basidiomycota; Tremellomycetes; Filobasidiales; Filobasidiaceae. The record is from RNAcentral.
UAACAAGGAUUCCCCUAGUAACGGCGAGUGAAGCGGGAAGAGCUCAAAUUUGAAAUCUGGUAGCCUUCGGUUGCCCGAGUUGUAAUCUAGAGAAGUGUUUUCCGCGUUGGCCCAUGUACAAGUCCCUUGGAACAGGGCGUCAUAGAGGGUGAGAAUCCCGUCCUUGACAUGGACCCCCAAUGCUUUGUGAUACACUUUCAACGAGUCGAGUUGUUUGGGAAUGCAGCUCAAAAUGGGUGGUGAAUUCCAUCUAAAGCUAAAUAUUGGCGAGAGACCGAUAGCGAACAAGUACCGUGAGGGAAAGAUGAAAAGCACUUUGGAAAGAGAGUUAAACAGUACGUGAAAUUGUUGAAAGGGAAACGAUUGAAGUCAGUCAUGCUCUUUGGAUUAAGCCGUUCUGCGGUGUAUUUCAUUGAGCGGGGUCAACAUCAGUUUUGAUCGCUGGAAAAGGGCAGGAGGAAGGUAGCACUCUCGGGUGAACUUAUAGCCUCUUGUCGUAUACAGUGAUUGGGACUGAGGAACGCAGCAUGCCUUUUGGCCGGGAUUCGUCCACGUACAUGCUUAGGAUGUUGACAUAAUGGCUUUAAACGACCCGUCUUGAAACACGGACCAAGGAGUCUAACAUAUCUGCGAGUAUUUG